AGUGGGGAAUAUUGCACAAUGGGCGCAAGCCUGAUGCAGCCAUGCCGCGUGUAUGAAGAAGGCCUUCGGGUUGUAAAGUACUUUCAGCAGUGAGGAAGGUGGUGUAGUUAAUAACUGCAUCAUUUGACGUUAGCUGCAGAAGAAGCACCGGCUAACUCCGUGCCAGCAGCCGCGGUAAUACGGAGGGUGCGAGCGUUAAUCGGAAUUACUGGGCGUAAAGCGCAUGCAGGUGGUUUGUUAAGUCAGAUGUGAAAGCCCGGGGCUCAACCUCGGAAUUGCAUUUGAAACUGGCAGACUAGAGUACUGUAGAGGGGGGUAGAAUUUCAGGUGUAGCGGUGAAAUGCGUAGAGAUCUGAAGGAAUACCGGUGGCGAAGGCGGCCCCCUGGACAGAUACUGACACUCAGAUGCGAAAGCGUGGGGAGCAAA
Molecule: ribosomal RNA, 427 nt
Filed under: uncultured Vibrio sp.
Lineage: Bacteria; Pseudomonadati; Pseudomonadota; Gammaproteobacteria; Vibrionales; Vibrionaceae
Description: bacterial SSU rRNA
Rfam family: Bacterial small subunit ribosomal RNA
Source: RNAcentral